Molecule: ribosomal RNA, 410 nt
Filed under: uncultured bacterium
Lineage: Bacteria
Description: bacterial SSU rRNA
Rfam family: Bacterial small subunit ribosomal RNA
Source: RNAcentral
ACUCCUACGGGAGGCAGCAGUGGGGAAUAUUGCACAAUGGGCGCAAGCCUGAUGCAGCAACGCCGUGUGAGUGAAGAAGGUUUUCGGAUCGUAAAACUCUGUCCUAAGGGAAGAAAAAAAUGACGGUACCUUAGGAGGAAGCCCCGGCUAACUACGUGCCAGCAGCCGCGGUAAUACGUAGGGGGCAAGCGUUAUCCGGAAUCACUGGGCGUAAAGGGUGCGUAGGCGGCUUAGCAAGCCAGGGUGAAAGGCAUUGGCUCAACCAAUGUAAGCCUUUGGAACUGUUAAGCUUGAGUGCAGGAGAGGUAAGUGGAAUUCCUAGUGUAGAGGUGAAAUUCGUAGAUAUUAGGAGGAACACCAGUGCGAAGGCGACUUACUGGACUGUAACUGACGCUGAUGCACGAAAGCGU